GAUGAACGCUGGCGGCGUGCCUAAUACAUGCAAGUCGAGCGAACGGACGAGAGGCUUGCUUCUCUGAUGUUAGCGGCGGACGGGUGAGUAACACGUGGAUAACCUACCUAUAAGACUGGGAUAACUUCGGGAAACCGGAGCUAAUACCGGAUAAUAUUUUGAACCGCAUGGUUCAAAAGUGAAAGACGGUCUUGCUGUCACUUAUAGAUGGAUCCGCGCUGCAUUAGCUAGUUGGUAAGGUAACGGCUUACCAAGGCAACGAUGCAUAGCCGACCUGAGAGGGUGAUCGGCCACACUGGAACUGAGACACGGUCCAGACUCCUACGGGAGGCAGCAGUAGGGAAUCUUCCGCAAUGGGCGAAAGCCUGACGGAGCAACGCCGCGUGAGUGAUGAAGGUCUUCGGAUCGUAAAACUCUGUUAUUAGGGAAGAACAUAUGUGUAAGUAACUGUGCACAUCUUGACGGUACCUAAUCAGAAAGCCACGGCUAACUACGUGCCAGCAGCCGCGGUAAUACGUAGGUGGCAAGCGUUAUCCGGAAUUAUUGGGCGUAAAGCGCGCGUAGGCGGUUUUUUAAGUCUGAUGUGAAAGCCCACGGCUCAACCGUGGAGGGUCAUUGGAAACUGGAAAACUUGAGUGCAGAAGAGGAAAGUGGAAUUCCAUGUGUAGCGGUGAAAUGCGCAGAGAUAUGGAGGAACACCAGUGGCGAAGGCGACUUUCUGGUCUGUAACUGACGCUGAUGUGCGAAAGCGUGGGGAUCAAACAGGAUUAGAUACCCUGGUAGUCCACGCCGUAAACGAUGAGUGCUAAGUGUUAGGGGGUUUCCGCCCCUUAGUGCUGCAGCUAACGCAUUAAGCACUCCGCCUGGGGAGUACGACCGCAAGGUUGAAACUCAAAGGAAUUGACGGGGACCCGCACAAGCGGUGGAGCAUGUGGUUUAAUUCGAAGCAACGCGAAGAACCUUACCAAAUCUUGACAUCCUUUGACAACUCUAGAGAUAGAGCCUUCCCCUUCGGGGGACAAAGUGACAGGUGGUGCAUGGUUGUCGUCAGCUCGUGUCGUGAGAUGUUGGGUUAAGUCCCGCAACGAGCGCAACCCUUAAGCUUAGUUGCCAUCAUUAAGUUGGGCACUCUAAGUUGACUGCCGGUGACAAACCGGAGGAAGGUGGGGAUGACGUCAAAUCAUCAUGCCCCUUAUGAUUUGGGCUACACACGUGCUACAAUGGGCAAUACAAAGGGCAGCGAAACCGCGAGGUCAAGCAAAUCCCAUAAAGUUGUUCUCAGUUCGGAUUGUAGUCUGCAACUCGACUACAUGAAGCUGGAAUCGCUAGUAAUCGUAGAUCAGCAUGCUACGGUGAAUACGUUCCCGGGUCU
Molecule: ribosomal RNA, 1372 nt
Filed under: uncultured bacterium
Lineage: Bacteria
Description: bacterial SSU rRNA
Rfam family: Bacterial small subunit ribosomal RNA
Source: RNAcentral